AGGCUUCCCGGAGCGACGCCGCGUGGAUGAWGAAGGCCUUCAGGUUGUAAAGUUCUUUUGUUGGGGAAGAAUAACCAUGGGAGGGAAUGCCCGUGGGAUGACAUGAACCGACGAAUAAGCCCCGGCUAACUACGUGCCAGCAGCCGCGGUAACACGUAGGGGGCGAGCGUUGUUCGGAAUUACUGGGCGUAAAGGGCAUGUAAGCSGUCUUGUAAGCUUGGCGUGAAAGACCNCGGCUCAACCGUGGGAUUGCSUUGAGAACUGCGAGGCUUGAGUGACGGAAAGGGAGCUAGAAUUCCUGGUGUAGGGGUGGAAUCUGUAGAGAUCAGGAAGAAUACCAAUGGCGAANGCAAGCUCCUGGCCGAUGACUGA
RNAcentral lists this ribosomal RNA (372 nucleotides) under uncultured bacterium. RNAcentral's name for it is "bacterial SSU rRNA". It matches the Rfam family "Bacterial small subunit ribosomal RNA", at positions 379 to 743 of the family's 1533-position model. The record is from RNAcentral.